Pelobates cultripes (western spadefoot toad) is the source of this 231-nucleotide non-coding RNA. The record is from the annotation of a GenBank genome assembly. Lineage: Eukaryota; Metazoa; Chordata; Amphibia; Anura; Pelobatidae.
GUUCAUCAGUACACGGUAAGACAAAUUGUCUAUAAAUGGAGAAAGUUCAGCACUGCUGCUACUCUCCCUAGGAGUGGCCGUCCUGUAAAGAUGACUGCAAGAGCACAGCGCAGACUGCUCAAUGAGGUGAAGAAGAAUCCUAGAGUGUCAGCUAAAGACUUACAAAAGUCACUGGCAAAUGCUAACAUCCCUGUUAGCGAAUCUACAAUACGUAAAACAGUAAACAAGAAU